Molecule: transfer RNA, 52 nt
Filed under: Equus sp.
Lineage: Eukaryota; Metazoa; Chordata; Mammalia; Perissodactyla; Equidae
Description: partial tRNA-Cys
Source: RNAcentral
AGUCCCGUGGUGAAUUUCACAUUGAAUUGCAAAUUCAAAGGAGCAGCUUCAA